UACGAAGGGGGCUAGCGUUGCCCGGAAUCACUGGGCGUAAAGCGCACGUAGGCGGCUUUUUAAGUCAGAGGUGAAAUCCUGGAGCUCAACUCCAGAACUGCCUUUGAUACUGGAGAGCUUGAGUCCGGGAGAGGUGAGUGGAACUGCGAGUGUAGAGGUGAAAUUCGUAGAUAUUCGCAAGAACACCAGUGGCGAAGGCGGCUCACUGGCCCGGUACUGACGCUGAGGUGCGAAAGCGUGGGGAGCAAACAGG
RNAcentral lists this ribosomal RNA (253 nucleotides) under uncultured bacterium. Its description in RNAcentral is "partial 16S ribosomal RNA". It matches the Rfam family "Bacterial small subunit ribosomal RNA", at positions 524 to 776 of the family's 1533-position model. The record is from RNAcentral.